Molecule: RNase P RNA, 354 nt
Filed under: Marinomonas transparens
Lineage: Bacteria; Pseudomonadati; Pseudomonadota; Gammaproteobacteria; Oceanospirillales; Oceanospirillaceae
Description: Bacterial RNase P class A
Rfam family: Bacterial RNase P class A
About the family: Ribonuclease P (RNase P) is a ubiquitous endoribonuclease, found in archaea, bacteria and eukarya as well as chloroplasts and mitochondria.
Source: Rfam by way of RNAcentral
CAAGUUGGCUAGGCAGUCGCCGCCUGAUAUUUAUUAUCGGGGGGAGGAAAGUCCGGGCUUCGCAGGGUAAAGUGCCAGGUAACGCCUGGGGGGCGUGAGCCUACGGAAAGUGCAGCAGAAAAUAAACCGCCUAAGCAGCUUGCUGCCGGUAAGGUUGAAAUGGUGCGGUAAGAGCGCACCGCGCGACUGGUAACAGUUCGUGGCAAGGUAAACCCCACUUGAAGCAAGACCAAAUAGGAACUCUUUGGCGUGACCCGCGCUGAGUUCGGGUAGGUUGCUAAAGACGUGCAGUGAUGUACGUAUUAGAUGAAUGACUGUUCUCGACAGAACCCGGCUUAUCGGCCAACUUGCUUU